AUUGAACGCUGGCGGCAUGCCUUACACAUGCAAGUCGAACGGCAGCACGGUUGCUGGCACCUGUUGGCGAGUGGCGAACGGGGGAGUAAUACAUCUGCACAUGUCCUUUAUUUUUGGAGAGGCCUGCGAAAGCCGGAUUAAUACCGCAUACGAUCUCCGGAUGAAAGCGGGAGACCGUCGUCUCUCGCCCUAUAGGGUUGGCAGAUGGCUGAGUAGCUAGUUGGUGGGGUAAAGGCCUACCAAGGCGACGAUCAGUAGCUGGUCUGAGAGGACGACCAGCCACACUGGAACUGAGACACGGCCCAGACUCCUACGGGAGGCAGCAGUGGGGAAUUUUGGACAAUGGGCGAAAGCCUGAUCCAGCAAUGCCGCGUGUGUGAAGAAGGCCUUCGGGUUGUAAAGCACUUUUGUCCGGAAAGAAAACCUUGGCCCUAAUACGGUCGGGGGAUGACGGUACCGAAAGAAUAAGCACCGGCUAACUACGUG
RNAcentral lists this ribosomal RNA (486 nucleotides) under uncultured bacterium. RNAcentral's name for it is "partial 16S ribosomal RNA". It matches the Rfam family "Bacterial small subunit ribosomal RNA", at positions 30 to 507 of the family's 1533-position model. The record is from RNAcentral.